GUGGGGAAUAUUGGACAAUGGGCGAAAGCCUGAUCCAGCCAUGCCGCGUGUGUGAAGAAGGUCUUCGGAUUGUAAAGCACUUUAAGUUGGGAGGAAGGGCAGUAAGUUAAUACCUUGCUGUUUUGACGUUACCAACAGAAUAAGCACCGGCUAACUUCGUGCCAGCAGCCGCGGUAAUACGAAGGGUGCAAGCGUUAAUCGGAAUUACUGGGCGUAAAGCGCGCGUAGGUGGUUCAGCAAGUUGAAGGUGAAAUCCCCGGGCUCAACCUGGGAACUGCCUCCAAAACUACUGAGCUAGAGUACGGUAGAGGGUAGUGGAAUUUCCUGUGUAGCGGUGAAAAGCGUAGAUAUAGGAAGGAACACCAGUGGCGAAGGCGACUACCUGGACUGAUACUGACACUGAGGUGCGAAAGCGUGGGGAGCAAAGAGGAUUAGAAACCCCGGUAGUCC
RNAcentral lists this ribosomal RNA (450 nucleotides) under uncultured bacterium. RNAcentral's name for it is "partial 16S ribosomal RNA". It matches the Rfam family "Bacterial small subunit ribosomal RNA", at positions 354 to 796 of the family's 1533-position model. The record is from RNAcentral.